Long non-coding RNA from Felis catus (domestic cat), 2610 nucleotides. RefSeq lists it as uncharacterized. The record is from RefSeq and is a predicted model, not a curated record. The transcript has 10 exons. NCBI's taxonomy places the organism in Eukaryota, Metazoa, Chordata, Mammalia, Carnivora, Felidae.
GUACGUGGGAGCCCGCCGGGAACCACGUAGGGUUACAGGAGUUUAACUGGUGACCGGGCGACCCGCUUUGGGGUCUGCCCUCGUGAGGCGCACAUUCACUUCACUGUCCCCCUGUGACUGCCUAAGGCUGCCAGAUCCUGAAGGAGGGAGGAGGGGUGUGAAGCUUACUUUCCUGCCCUCCUCCUCAGUGUGCCCUUCUUUCUGUUCUUCGUCCAGAUGCUGUAAUUCCGUGCUUGGAAUCCUUGGCUCCUAUGAAGGCAAAUGUACACACACAGGAAAUACAGUGUUCUUGAGUUGCAUGCUGUGCUUCAGUAGCUGUCUUUUGUUCAGAACUUCAGCAUACUUGCAGAUCAUUUACCGUGUGUUUGAUAUACAAAACCAGCACAGGCUCUUUUUAAGCUGCCUCCAUGACUGGGUAGUACUAAAAACAGCCAACCUGACAAGAGCUGGCAUCUGCAAAUCUGCAAUGGCACUUCUCUCCAUGACACCCUCUGUAGGGAGGCCUUCCCCUUGACCUCCACAUAUCACAUCUCUAACUCCAGGAAGGCUACUGUUUGGAGGAAAAGGAUGCUGAUGACCCAGAAGAAGGUGUACUGAUCUUAACUGGCUUCCCCCUACAGUAGUGCAUAUUGCCUUAGAAUUCUAGAUGUUGAACAUGUACUGAACUGUAUUAGUCAUCAUCUCCACUUUGGUUUUGCAUCAGAAUAACAGCUAAUAUCUAUUUGAGAAUGAUACACUACUGAAAGAAUCUUACAACAUGACAGUUGGCCUGUAGUGACUUCAGCAUCUCAAAGACCAUAAAAGACUAUAUUAGAAGAGUGCCCUGAAUAUAGUAGGCACUUGAUGAACAUCUGAAAGCAAGGAUGAUUGAAUUAGUGGGGAAAAAAAAAAGAAGAAUGAAAGAAAAAGUUAAGGAGACAGAAUUUUCCUGUUGGAAGCGAGUUGGAAUAUUACAGUAUCACCAAUUUAAAAAGAAGACAAAACUGGGAGAAAAGCAGUUGAGCUUUUGCAAGCACCAUGAGGACAUGCCACAGUAUCCUGUGAUCCCAGGAAAAUGAAAGUCAUGUGAAGCAGAUAUAGACCAAGUUUACCGAAACUCCAUCUAGAGCAGCCGGUCCUCAACCACAAUACAGACAUAUUCUACUGAAGACCAAAUUAUAAAUGGUUAGAAGUUGCCAGGAGGAGACUUGAACUUUCAUCCCUAACAUAAAAAAGUAAAAUAAGGUACCAAUUCUACAGAUGGUGGAUCAGCAUCAUCCUGGUAAAAAAAGUAGAGGUAAUCAACUUGUGCAUUUUCAUUGAAAUGAGAUCCAAGGAGCUUGGUGCCAGCAAGGUCAUCACAACUCAAAAAAAGAACAGGAGAACAUUUCAGGUCACCGUGAGUCACAGAGGGCAAAUAGAACUUUGCAUAUAUCCUUACCAUAGCAAUGUAUCUAAUAAUUAUUGUCCCUAGAAUCCGUUUCAAUUCAAAACACUGCACUGAUCUCUGCAUGGAAAUCUAAUUAUUCUUCCCACUCAUAAAAAUAGGCUACUCUUGCUAUUUCUCUUGUCACUUUCAGUUCAUGCACAUGAAAAUAGAAUUUAAAUAACUGCAAUGCCAUUUGUUAAAUGAUGUCCUGGAAGAAUUAGUUUUUCUUUAAAAAGUGAAUACUACAAAGUUCUCUGUACCCAUUUUACUACGUAAGGAAGUUAUUUGCCAUUUGCUGAAUCAGAGAUGAGCUUUAUAAAAUAUGUAAUAUUUUUAUUUUAAUUAUUACUGCAUGAGUCACAGUUUUCAUAAAAAUCUGCCUUUAGUUUUAGCAGAAUUGGCAAAGCUAUAUAUUUUUAAAUGACUGAAUUUUCAUUUAGAAUCCUAUUAUUUUUACUAAAAGAUGAUUGUAUUAUUCAUCAAAACGAAAACAGAAAUUUUCAUAUGAAGAUAUGUGGAUUAUUUUAAAAACACUGUCUCAUUAUUUAACAUUAUUUGAGAUAAAGAAGAAUUAAAAGAAUAUAUUUCAGUAGGAAGAAUUAGAUGAUAAGAUGGAGGCAGUGGUGAAGUUAUGGUGCUUUGCUCUUGAAUUGUCAAGACAAAAAAUUGCAAAACUUAAAGACUUUAUGGGCUUAUAUAGAAAGCCAAAGCCUGUGCUUCUAAAAUACAACAAAUGUAAAACUAUUUACAGAACAUGAUUGUCUCUAAUUUUAUGAAAACUUCACCCUGGAAAAUGGGCCCAACUUACAUUUUACUUUCCAAGCACAAACUCUGGACCAUGAAUAUUUCAUAAUGUUUGACUCUGGGACCAUCGAAGCUAUGGAUUCUCAUUUGUUCUGAAUGUAUUCAGAGUACUCACCUAGUACAAGAAGUAUUGAUGCUCUAAAGUGUUAAAUAUUUUAAAGCAAUGUGAUUCCAUAUCAAUAUACCGGGAUGAUUUUCCUAGUGCUACUAGAUAUAGAGAUCCUUUACUCAUGAUUUACAAAUAAUAAUAAUAAGUGCUUAUGUGACAAAUUUUUAUAAAACAAUGGUGAAAUUUUAUGUUACACAGCAUCAGGUCUUUCAAUAGACAUACAGUUAAUAUGGUGAUCAUAGUAUGUGGACUCUUCAGCAUGUAAUGAUAAAAGAGUACUCAAGUCCUA